This 253-nucleotide ribosomal RNA is filed under the name uncultured bacterium. RNAcentral's name for it is "partial 16S ribosomal RNA". It matches the Rfam family "Bacterial small subunit ribosomal RNA", at positions 524 to 776 of the family's 1533-position model. The record is from RNAcentral.
UACAGAGGUCUCAAGCGUUGUUCGGAUUCAUUGGGCGUAAAGGGUGCGUAGGUGGCGCCGUAAGUCAGGUGUGAAAUUUCGGAGCUUAACUCCGAAACUGCAUUUGAUACUGCGGUGCCUGAGGACUGGAGAGGAGACUGGAAUUCACGGUGUAGCAGUGAAAUGCGUAGAUAUCGUGAGGAAGACCAGUGGCGAAGGCGGGUCUCUGGACAGUUCCUGACACUGAGGCACGAAGGCCAGGGGAGCAAACGGG